UACGUAGGUGGCAAGCGUUGUCCGGAUUUAUUGGGUUUAAAGGGUGCGUAGGCGGCUUAUUAAGUCAGUGGUGAAAUACCCUAGCUCAACUAGAGGGGUGCCAUUGAUACUGAUGAGCUUGAGUACAGAUGAGGUAGGCGGAAUUGACGGUGUAGCGGUGAAAUGCUUAGAUAUCGUCAAGAACACCUAUAGCGAAGGCAGCUUACUAGGCUGUAACUGACGCUGAGGCACGAAAGUGUGGGGAUCAAACAGG
This 253-nucleotide ribosomal RNA is filed under the name uncultured bacterium. RNAcentral describes it as "partial 16S ribosomal RNA". It matches the Rfam family "Bacterial small subunit ribosomal RNA", at positions 524 to 776 of the family's 1533-position model. The record is from RNAcentral.